This 71-nucleotide transfer RNA is filed under the name Camelus bactrianus (Bactrian camel). It matches the Rfam family "tRNA". From Rfam's summary of the family: Transfer RNA (tRNA) molecules are approximately 80 nucleotides in length. Their secondary structure includes four short double-helical elements and three loops (D, anti-codon, and T loops). Lineage: Eukaryota; Metazoa; Chordata; Mammalia; Artiodactyla; Camelidae. The record is from Rfam by way of RNAcentral. RNAcentral also lists the same sequence under 2 other names.
GAGGGUAUAGCUCAGUGGUAGAGCGUAUGCUUAGCAUACACUAAGUCCUGGGUUCAACCCCAGUACCUCCA